CGAGUGCCCCGACGCGUUAUCCGGAAUCAUUGGGCGUAAAGGGUGUGUAGGUGGUUGUGUUAGUCUUCUGUUAAAACCCGGGGCUUAACCCCGGAGGUGCGGAGGAAACGGCACGACUAGAGGAUGGCAGGGAUGUAUGGAACUCAUGGAGUAGGGGUGAAAUCCGUUGAUAUCAUGGGGAACACCAAAAGCGAAGGCAGUACAUUGGGCCACUCCUGACACUGAGACACGAAAGCGUGGGUAGCGAAUGGGAUUAGAUACCCCAGUAGUCCACGCCCUAAACGUUGACAACUAGCUUUUCAGAGUAUCGACCCUCCGAGAGGCGAAGCUAACGCGUUAAGUUGUCCGCCUGGGUACUACGGCCGCAAGGCUAA
RNAcentral lists this ribosomal RNA (374 nucleotides) under uncultured organism. RNAcentral's name for it is "bacterial SSU rRNA". It matches the Rfam family "Bacterial small subunit ribosomal RNA", at positions 526 to 897 of the family's 1533-position model. The record is from RNAcentral.